UGGGGAAUCUUGCGCAACGGGCGAAAGCCUGACGCAGCGACGCCGCGUGAGUGAUGAAGGCCUUCGGGUUGUAAAGCUCUGUGGGGAGAGACGAAUAAGUGCAAGCUAAUACAUUGCAUGAUGACGGUAUCUCCUUAGCAAGCACCGGCUAACUCUGUGCCAGCAGCCGCGGUAAGACAGAGGGUGCAAACGUUGUUCGGAAUUACUGGGCGUAAAGCGAGUGUAGGCGGUUUCCUAAGUCAGGUGUGAAAGCCCCGGGCUCAACCCGGGAAGUGCACUUGAAACUGGGAGGCUAGAGUACUGGAGAGGUUGGUGGAAUUCUCGGUGUAGAGGUGAAAUUCGUAGAUAUCCGGAGGAACACCGGUGGCGAAGGCGGCCACCUGGACAGGUACUGACGCUGAGGCGCGAAAGCGUGGGGAGCAAACA
RNAcentral lists this ribosomal RNA (426 nucleotides) under uncultured bacterium. RNAcentral's name for it is "bacterial SSU rRNA". It matches the Rfam family "Bacterial small subunit ribosomal RNA", at positions 355 to 774 of the family's 1533-position model. The record is from RNAcentral.